Long non-coding RNA from Erinaceus europaeus (western European hedgehog), 528 nucleotides. RefSeq lists it as uncharacterized. The transcript has 3 exons. The record is from RefSeq and is a predicted model, not a curated record. Lineage: Eukaryota; Metazoa; Chordata; Mammalia; Eulipotyphla; Erinaceidae.
GAGAAAACAAGAAAAUCUUUGGUGUAUAUAGUGCCAGUGCUCAAUCUCAGACCCUCUGUGCACACAGUAUGAUGCUGUCCGUGUAGAAGGUGAUACAAGUUCAGAAUGCCCCGAUACACAUACCAUUACCAUGAAUGCACCUGGAAGGUAAAGCUGGGGGAAAGGAAAUGGAAGUCAAAGAAGUGUAAAUACUCCUUCAAGUGUGUGAAUAGUCUCAAGGAAGGUCACAGACAGCCACUGUUUGAGGUUCAGUUUAACUGGCGCAGUAAAGGUGGGGAUCCAUUAGUGUUCACAACAGUAUGAAGCAAAAGAGUAAGUCUUCCUGGAUGUGAGCUGGUAGAUGCAGGUGUGUGCAUAAAUACUGAAUUGUGAUGUUUUUGAAGUUUAUGUAGUUGGCUUGGCUGUUUUUUUGUAUAAAGUUACGGGCUGAGGAGACAGCAAAAUGAUUAUACAAAAGGCAUUCAUCCCUGACUCUUUAAGGACCCAGAUAGAAACCCCAGCAUCACCCAUAGCUAGAGCUGAGCAGUG